Coregonus clupeaformis (lake whitefish) is the source of this 2489-nucleotide long non-coding RNA. RefSeq lists it as uncharacterized. NCBI's taxonomy places the organism in Eukaryota, Metazoa, Chordata, Actinopteri, Salmoniformes, Salmonidae. The transcript is spliced from 2 exons. The record is from RefSeq and is a predicted model, not a curated record.
AAGAACAGCCCUUAGCCAUGGUAUAUUGGCCAUAUACCACACCCCCUCGGGCCUUAUUGCUUAAUUAUGUUACCCUUGAUAAUAGUUGUGAAUUGAUUCAUAUCACAAGUUAUUACUGAAAUCAGACACAGUUGAGGCUUUUUGUAUUAUUCAAUAAAUGUGUUUUAUUGAUGAUCACCACACUUUUCCCUUUGACAAUAAAUCUGCUGAAGUUCUAUGUUCCUUUACGUGUUAAAGAUAGAUACAGAAGUAUAUUGCACUUAAAACAAAAGAUGAAAGAACAGUCAUGAAGCUCACAAGAAGAAAGAGGAAAGCGAUCACAAUGCCUUCCUUACAGCACAGCCUGUGGAGGCAACAUGAGGGCCUUGCACGAGCCUUCUCCGUACCAUUCACACAGUUAGCUUUUUUAAAUAUACAUCUUUUAAAAUAGCAUUUCUAUUUAAUUCAUUUUUAAACUAUUACCUACAGGAUUAGAACUAAUAAGGUAGCAUGCACAGACAAGCAGGGUUUAUUGGAAUGAUGGACAAUCUUCAUGAUGAUUUUUCUACAUCAGGAUUCUGAAGAGUUUUGGAGAAUGCAACUGAACCAUUAUUUAUUUUUUUGCACAAUACAUUGAUACUGUUACUGUUUUUAUUCUGUUUGUUUUUUUAUUUGGAAAAAUUCACUGUGUGAACCAUUAUAAAUACCCUAGAUAUAAAAUGUAUUGAUAUAGUGAUCCGAGUCACUAUCUGGCAGUCAGGUUUGUGUGUGUGAUGUGGUUUGUGUAUGCCUAUGAAUACAAUGUUAAUUCUAGCCUUUAGAAUGACGCUGACAUGAGUUAACAGUUGAAGUCUUGGUUUAGACAACCUUGAAGUCAAAGACCACAGGAAAACUGGUUAAAUUGCAGCACAAGAAGAUUGAACAUCUUCUCAUGGAGUUGCUGAGAUAUAAAGGGAUACUGUUGUUCUGAAUCCCAUUCUCUAAGUGAAAGCCCAUUGCAAGCACUGUAAAAUUAUCCAAUAUUUGUUAUACAGAAUGUUCUCUCAGCUAUACAAUAUAGCAGGCGUGUUAGUUUGUCUUACAGACAGCUUUGCAAAGGCAAUUACCUGUACGGUCGAAAAUCAGUCUCUGAAAAUGAAGAACUUUUUAUUUAAUCAAUUGUUGACUAAUUAAUUGCUCUCGUUUCUCAGGGCAACCAUUAGAAAUAGACAGACUUAAGACUAGAGUAAAGAAAUAAAAUAACAGACUUUCUGCCCUAAAAAUAAGUUUGAUAUGCACUGUAUUCACACACAAUAGAGGAGACAGUCCGACAUUGACUGACAACCCUUUUGAGUUGAUGGAGCAGAAAACAUAUACAACUACUAACUAGUAUGUCACCAAGGCAACCAAGAUAUCAAUGUCCUCCACGGAGAACGUAAAGGUUAAUCUGCUUCUUCACAUUCGGAUCAGCUGGAACACGCUUGGAACUAGCCUGGUUAAACCAGACUGAACGGUGCUCUCAGUAUUGCUAUCUCAGAACUUCUCUCAGUCUGUUAACCGGGCUAUCUCAGAACUUCUCUCAGUCUGUUAACCGGGCUAUCUCAGAACUUCUCUCAGUCUGUUAACCAGGCUAUCUCAGAACUUCUCUCAGUCUGUUAACCAGGCUAUCUCAGAACUUCUCUCAGUCUGUUAACCAGGCUAUCUCAGAACUUCUCUCAGUCUGUUAACCGGGCUAUCUCAGAACUUCUCUCAGUCUGUUAACCAGGCUAUCUCAGAACUUCUCUCAGUCUGUUAACCGGGCUAUCUCAGAACUUCUCUCAGUCUGUUAACCAGGCUAUCUCAGAACUUCUCUCAGUCUGUUAACCGGGCUAUCUCAGAACUUCUCUCAGUCUGUUAACCGGGCUAUCUCAGAACUUCUCUCAGUCUGUUAACCGGGCUAUCUCAGAACUUCUCUCAGUCUGUUAACCGGGCUAUCUCAGAACUGCUCUCAGUCUGUUAACCAGGCUAUCUCAGAACUUCUCUCAGUCUGUUAACCGGGCUAUCUCAGAACUUCUCUCAGUCUGUUAACCGGGCUAUCUCAGAACUUCUCUCAGUCUGUUAACCGGGCUAUCUCAGAAUUGCUCUCAGUCUGUUAACCAGGCUAUCUCAGAAAUGCUCUCUCUGAUAAUCUGCAUGGUCCGGUAUAUUUGUGCAAUGAGCAUCGGCAAUGGAAAGAAAAAGACAUUGCGGCAUUCAAAGCAUGUUUACUGGAAGCGUUAGCCAAUGAAUUAUUUUUUCUUUGUCUCUAUGCUAUGAUUUAUAUGCUUGUGCCAUAUGUGUCUCAGAAAAACUGGAAUACACGGCUGAAUAUUCUGAUUUGCCUCAAAGAUUGCACAAUGGUACAAUUUGUCUAGACCCCCGAACAAGACGUGUUGGUCUUACAAUUUGUUCUCUGUAAGCCUCAAAAACUCAAUGUCAUGAUGCAACAACAUGGAAUUAAAAAUGGAAUGAAAACAUGUCUUUUUGUCUCAUUUUCUAACAAAGUUAGUCUU